CCUACGGUGGGCAGCAGUGAGGAAUAUUGGUCAAUGGCCGCAGGGCUGAACCAGCCAAGUCGCGUGAGGGAUGACGGUCCUAUGGAUUGUAAACCUCUUUUGUCAGGGAGCAAAGAGCGCCACGUGUAGCGCUUUGCGAGUACCCGGAGAAAAAGCAUCGGCUAACUCCGUGCCAGCAGCCGCGGUAAUACGGAGGAUGCGAGCGUUAUCCGGAUUUAUUGGGUUUAAAGGGUGCGCAGGCGGAGUGUUAAGUCAGCGGUAAAAUUUCGGGGCUCAACCCCGUCCUGCCGUUGAAACUGGCGUGCUUGAGUGAGCGAGAAGUAUGCGGAAUGCGUGGUGUAGCGGUGAAAUGCAUAGAGAUCACGCAGAACUCCGAUUGCGAAGGCAGCAUACCGGCGCCCAACUGACGCUCAUGCACGAAAGCGUGGGUAUCGAACAGGAUUAGAUACCCUAGUAGUC
RNAcentral lists this ribosomal RNA (459 nucleotides) under uncultured bacterium. RNAcentral describes it as "partial 16S ribosomal RNA". It matches the Rfam family "Bacterial small subunit ribosomal RNA", at positions 338 to 795 of the family's 1533-position model. The record is from RNAcentral.